GUUGGGUUCUACCAAUCUCACAUUAAGAAUAAAACGGACCCAAUGAAUGAAUCCUUAUAGCAGAAACUUGCCCAUCUGUUGGCAUUGCUUAGAAAACUUAAGAUGUAAAUUAAGGCAUAAUUUUCUAUCUUUAAAAGAGCAUCCAAACUCCUUUUGCUUUCAUGAUUGGAAGAUAUAUGUAUAAUUUGACAGUGAUUCCCAUAUAGUGAGGGUAAGAUAGUCUCUUAAGUCUUACGUUAUCACCUCUUUUUUUUUUUUUUUUUUUUUUUUUUUUUUUUUUUUUUUUUUUGUACUCAAAACAAAACAGAAUUAGUACAUAUUAUAUUUAAUAAAUGCAUUGGCAAUGUACACUCUGAAUUAUGUAAUCAAUAUAUAAGCCAUUACCUUGAAUGAGUCUUUGUGAAAUGCAUCAUGGCA
Molecule: long non-coding RNA, 417 nt
Filed under: Mytilus galloprovincialis (Mediterranean mussel)
Lineage: Eukaryota; Metazoa; Mollusca; Bivalvia; Mytilida; Mytilidae
Source: RNAcentral